Molecule: ribosomal RNA, 438 nt
Filed under: uncultured bacterium
Lineage: Bacteria
Description: partial 16S ribosomal RNA
Rfam family: Bacterial small subunit ribosomal RNA
Source: RNAcentral
CUACGGGGGGCUCCAGUGGGGAAUAUUGCACAAUGGAGGAAACUCUGAUGCAGCAACGCCGCGUGGAGGAUGACACUUUUCGGAGCGUAAACUCCUUUUAUAUAGGAAGAAGAUGACGGUACUAUAUGAAUAAGCGCCGGCUAACUCCGUGCAGCAGCCGCGGUAAUACGGAGGGCGCAAGCGUUACUCGGAAUCACUGGGCGUAAAGAGCGUGUAGGCGGAUUAAAAAGUCAGAAGUGAAAUCCUAUAGCUUAACUAUAGAACUGCUUCUGAAACUCUUAAUCUAGAAUAUGGGAGAGGUAGAUGGAAUUUCUGGUGUAGGGGUAAAAUCCGUAGAGAUCAGAAGGAAUACCGAUUGCGAAGGCGAUCUACUAGAACAUUAUUGACGCUGAGGUGCGAAAGCGUGGGGAGCAAACAGGAUUAGAUACCCGUGUAGUC